RNAcentral lists this ribosomal RNA (461 nucleotides) under uncultured bacterium. RNAcentral's name for it is "bacterial SSU rRNA". It matches the Rfam family "Bacterial small subunit ribosomal RNA", at positions 335 to 787 of the family's 1533-position model. The record is from RNAcentral.
ACUCCGUACGGGAGGCAGCAGUGGGGAAUAUUGCACAAUGGGGGAAACCCUGAUGCAGCCAUGCCGCGUGUGUGAAGAAGGCCUUCGGGUUGUAAAGCACUUUCAGUAGGGAGGAAGGUAGUGUAGUUAACACCUGCAUUAUUUGACGUUACCUACAGAAGAAGCACCGGCUAACUCCGUGCCAGCAGCCGCGGUAAUACGGAGGGUGCGAGCGUUAAUCGGAAUUACUGGGCGUAAAGCGCAUGCAGGCGGCCUGUUAAGUCAGAUGUGAAAGCCCGGGGCUUAACCUCGGAAUUGCAUUUGAAACUGGCAGGCUAGAGUCUUGUAGAGGGGGGUAGAAUUUCAGGUGUAGCGGUGAAAUGCGUAGAGAUCUGAAGGAAUACCAGUGGCGAAGGCGGCCCCCUGGACAAAGACUGACGCUCAGAUGCGAAAGCGUGGGGAGCAAACAGGAUUAGAUACCC